This 468-nucleotide ribosomal RNA is filed under the name uncultured bacterium. RNAcentral describes it as "partial 16S ribosomal RNA". It matches the Rfam family "Bacterial small subunit ribosomal RNA", at positions 28 to 507 of the family's 1533-position model. The record is from RNAcentral.
GACGAACGCUGGCGGCGUGCUUAACACAUGCACGUCGAACGGAAAGGCCCUGCUUUUGUGGGGUGCUCGAGUGGCGAACGGGUGAGUAACACGUGAGUAACCUGCCCUUGACUUUGGGAUAACUUCAGGAAACUGGGGCUAAUACCGGAUAGGAGCUCCUGCUGCAUGGUGGGGGUUGGAAAGUUUCGGCGGUUGGGGAUGGACUCGCGGCUUAUCAGCUUGUUGGUGGGGUAGUGGCUUACCAAGGCUUUGACGGGUAGCCGGCCUGAGAGGGUGACCGGCCACAUUGGGACUGAGAUACGGCCCAGACUCCUACGGGAGGCAGCAGUGGGGAAUAUUGCACAAUGGGCGGAAGCCUGAUGCAGCAACGCCGCGUGCGGGAUGACGGCCUUCGGGUUGUAAACCGCUUUCGCCUGUGACGAAGUGUGAGUGACGGUAAUGGGUAAAGAAGCACCGGCUAACUACGUG